UACGGGGGGGGUAAGCGUUGUUCGGAAUUACUGGGCGUAAAGGGCUCGUAGGCGGCCAACUAAGUCAGACGUGAAAUCCCUCAGCUUAACUGGGGAACUGCUUCUGAUACUGGAUGGCUUGGAUUCGGGAGAGGAAUGCGGAAUUCCAGGUGUAGCGGUGAAAUGCGUAGAUAUCUGGAGGAACACCGGUGGCGAAGGCGGCAUUCUGGACCGAUAUUGACGCUGAGGAGCGAAAGCCAGGGGAGCAAACGGG
This 253-nucleotide ribosomal RNA is filed under the name uncultured bacterium. RNAcentral describes it as "partial 16S ribosomal RNA". It matches the Rfam family "Bacterial small subunit ribosomal RNA", at positions 524 to 776 of the family's 1533-position model. The record is from RNAcentral.